This 108-nucleotide small nuclear RNA is filed under the name Mandrillus leucophaeus (drill). Lineage: Eukaryota; Metazoa; Chordata; Mammalia; Primates; Cercopithecidae. The record is from RNAcentral.
GUGCUCGCUUCGGCAGCACAUAUAUUAAAAAUUGGGAUGAUACAGAGAAGAUUAGCAUGGCCCCUGUGCAAGGAUGACACGCAAAUUCAUGAAGCAUUCCAUAUUUUU